CGCCAUCUACGCUUGAUCGCCUCAUCCUUCACAAGAAGCUGAUCAUAUCUGUCCUUGAUGCAUUUGACUUCGCUGACAUCCCUCGUCUUCCUCUCCCUAAUCUUGGCCAUCUUAUAGAUGUCCCUUUCGCCUUCCUUAGUGUUUAAACGUUGGUAGAGGUCCUCAUACGCCCGACCUCUCGCUUCACUCACCGCCCGCUUUG
RNAcentral lists this long non-coding RNA (202 nucleotides) under Hordeum vulgare. RNAcentral's name for it is "long non-coding RNA (HVUL_LNC016170)". Lineage: Eukaryota; Viridiplantae; Streptophyta; Magnoliopsida; Poales; Poaceae. The record is from RNAcentral.